This 204-nucleotide ribosomal RNA is filed under the name uncultured Thauera sp. RNAcentral's name for it is "partial 16S ribosomal RNA". It matches the Rfam family "Bacterial small subunit ribosomal RNA", at positions 1179 to 1382 of the family's 1533-position model. Lineage: Bacteria; Pseudomonadati; Pseudomonadota; Betaproteobacteria; Rhodocyclales; Zoogloeaceae. The record is from RNAcentral.
AUGACGUCAAGUCCUCGUGGCCCUUAUGGGUAGGGCUUCACACGUCAUACAAUGGUCGGUACAGAGGGUUGCCAAGCCGCGAGGUGGAGCCAAUCCCUUAAAGCCGAUCGUAGUCCGGAUCGUAGUCUGCAACUCGACUACGUGAAGUCGGAAUCGCUAGUAAUCGCAGAUCAGCAUGCUGCGGUGAAUACGUUCCCGGGUCUU